AUGUCGGGUUUGGGUAGAAAGUAUCCAUCGGGAAGUGAAAAAGGAAAAAGGAACGCGGUAGAUGAGAUGAAAGGAGCAUCGAGAGGAUCCUUUAAAUAUUAUAAGAGCGAUACGAGCACUUGAGAAAAUCCAGACAAGCUGGCAAUAGUUCCUGCAGAUGACCGAACUAGUGUUGAUGAGGAGGAUGCUGGUCAUACUCCUAUGGAAGACAAUGUUGACAUCAACAUGGAUGAUACCAAUGUGAGUGAUCAUGAGCCCAUAUUUAAUUCGUCUGUGACAUGAUCUGUUAGUGUUGAUGAGGAAACGGUUGUUACUGUGGAUAUUUAUGAUCCAAGUAAUUGGGGUAAUCUUAAUAACAAAGCAAGGGACAUAUUAGUGGAAAAAGGGGCCUAG
RNAcentral lists this ribosomal RNA (393 nucleotides) under Triticum aestivum (bread wheat). RNAcentral's name for it is "partial small subunit ribosomal RNA". Lineage: Eukaryota; Viridiplantae; Streptophyta; Magnoliopsida; Poales; Poaceae. The record is from RNAcentral.